UUCUGUGAAAUCCAUUUUGACUGCCAUGUGUUUGCAUUUAUUUUCUUUCCAGUUUAGAUUACUCAUCCAUAACUUAGCAGCAGGACAGAACAUAUUGAAAGCAUGCUUUCUGCUCCACAAGGAAUUGCCUUUCUCCUGUUUCCUAGACUCCAUUUUGCCAUGUUUUCUGAUAGUUCCACUGUGAAGAAUUCUGUCUGAUGGGAUGAAGACGUACAAACCAACAGUGUUCCAAGUCAGCUGAACAUCCCGUUGGGCCACAGUUUCUUUGCAUUCUUUGACCAUGGACAGAAGUUACAAAGUUCUGAACUGCUUCUGCAGAAGAGAUUAUUGCUAAUGACAAACUUGGCUGUAGUGAUCUUUUACAAACAUUGUAAGAAACUGCAAUUUGACCUGAAUAAGCUGUAUUACUGGCUGCAGAGAUUGGCACUGAUGAAGAACACUCCAAAAGAUGGCUUCAUUUUAUUUUACAAGGCCUAAAUGUGUUACUGCCAAUGCCAUUGCACAUGGAUUUCAUGUGAACACUUGG
Long non-coding RNA from Mauremys reevesii (Reeves's turtle), 526 nucleotides. RefSeq lists it as uncharacterized. The record is from RefSeq and is a predicted model, not a curated record. The transcript has 4 exons. NCBI's taxonomy places the organism in Eukaryota, Metazoa, Chordata, Testudines, Geoemydidae.